This is a long non-coding RNA of Homo sapiens (human), 468 nucleotides long. NCBI's taxonomy places the organism in Eukaryota, Metazoa, Chordata, Mammalia, Primates, Hominidae. The record is from Ensembl.
CAGACUGGGUUUUGUUUUUCCUCCUUUUUAUUUAAACUACAGGAACAUGGUUCCAACUGGAAUCGCCUAUUAAAACCAUCCAUUCUUAACAGCAAAAUCGAUAUCCACGGUGUCUCCGGGCAAAGCGCCCGUUACCCCGUGAGCCUCUGCCACAGGUGGACGCAGAGCAACAGACACUCGGUUACCCUCAGGCCACAUGGUCCUCGGAUUGCCCGGUCCCGGGUCCCCGCAAGGCGCGUCUACACCACGCCGCUAGACCCACGCGGCGAGGGGCUGGGCUUCCCCGGGGGCCACGGGUUCCGAAGUCCGCCCCCGUCCCCGCCUCCGGAGCUCACCGCUUUGAGAUCCAGAACGCCGUCCUUGGCCUCCUGCAGCAGCGACACGAACUUGGUAGUGAGCAGCCCCAGGCUCUUCUCGUGCCUGCUGCUGCCGCCCCCGGCGCCCCCGAGCUGCGGCGGCGGGGGCGGC